GGAUGAUCAGCCACACUGGAACUGAGACACGGUCCAGACUCCUACGGGAGGCAGCAGUGGGGAAUAUUGCACAAUGGGCGCAAGCCUGAUGCAGCCAUGCCGCGUGUGUGAAGAAGGCCUUCGGGUUGUAAAGUACUUUCAGUCGUGAGGAAGGUAGUGUAGUUAAUAGCUGCAUUAUUUGACGUUAGCGACAGAAGAAGCACCGGCUAACUCCGUGCCAGCAGCCGCGGUAAUACGGAGGGUGCGAGCGUUAAUCGGAAUUACUGGGCGUAAAGCGCAUGCAGGUGGUUUGUUAAGUCAGAUGUGAAAGCCCGGGGCUCAACCUCGGAAUAGCAUUUGAAACUGGCAGACUAGAGUACUGUAGAGGGGGGUAGAAUUUCAGGUGUAGCGGUGAAAUGCGUAGAGAUCUGAAGGAAUACCGGUGGCGAAGGCGGCCCCCUGGACAGAUACUGACACUCAGAUGCGAAAGCGUGGGGAGCA
Molecule: ribosomal RNA, 480 nt
Filed under: Vibrio alginolyticus
Lineage: Bacteria; Pseudomonadati; Pseudomonadota; Gammaproteobacteria; Vibrionales; Vibrionaceae
Description: bacterial SSU rRNA
Rfam family: Bacterial small subunit ribosomal RNA
Source: RNAcentral